Molecule: ribosomal RNA, 253 nt
Filed under: uncultured bacterium
Lineage: Bacteria
Description: partial 16S ribosomal RNA
Rfam family: Bacterial small subunit ribosomal RNA
Source: RNAcentral
UACGAGGGGGGCGAGCGUUGUUCGGAAUUAUUGGGCGUAAAGGGUGCGUAGGCGGUUUGGUAAGUCUUGUGUGAAAUCUACAGGCUCAACUUGUAGUCUGCACGAGAAACUGCCGGGCUUGAGUGUGGGAGAGGUGAGUGGAAUUCCUGGUGUAGCGGUGAAAUGCGUAGAUAUCAGGAGGAACACCUAUGGCGAAAGCGGCUCACUGGACCAUAACUGACGCUGAUGCACGAAAGCUAGGGGAGCAAACAGG